This 76-nucleotide transfer RNA is filed under the name Pelagibius sp. RNAcentral's name for it is "tRNA-Val". It matches the Rfam family "tRNA". Rfam says of the family: Transfer RNA (tRNA) molecules are approximately 80 nucleotides in length. The record is from RNAcentral. Lineage: Bacteria; Pseudomonadati; Pseudomonadota; Alphaproteobacteria; Rhodospirillales; Rhodovibrionaceae. RNAcentral also lists the same sequence under 2 other names.
GGGCGGUUAGCUCAGCUGGCAGAGCAUCGCGUUUACACCGCGAGUGUCGGCGGUUCGAUCCCGUCACCGCCCACCA